UACAGAGGGUGCGAGCGUUAAUCGGAAUUACUGGGCGUAAAGCGCACGUAGGCGGAUCUUUAAGUCAGGGGUGAAAUCCCGAGGCUCAACCUCGGAACUGCCUUUGAUACUGGGGAUCUCGAGUCCGGGAGAGGUGAGUGGAACUGCGAGUGUAGAGGUGAAAUUCGUAGAUAUUCGCAAGAACACCAGUGGCGAAGGCGGCUCACUGGCCCGGAACUGACGCUGAGGUGCGAAAGCGUGGGGAGCAAACAGG
Molecule: ribosomal RNA, 253 nt
Filed under: uncultured bacterium
Lineage: Bacteria
Description: partial 16S ribosomal RNA
Rfam family: Bacterial small subunit ribosomal RNA
Source: RNAcentral